RNAcentral lists this unclassified non-coding RNA (622 nucleotides) under Hevea brasiliensis (rubber tree). Lineage: Eukaryota; Viridiplantae; Streptophyta; Magnoliopsida; Malpighiales; Euphorbiaceae. The record is from RNAcentral.
UGAGCUGGGUAACUAUUUCUGGUUUUUCAUAAAAGUUCUCAGUGCACCACCAUUUGUAACGCACUGAAUUGCUUUGAUAGAUGUCUCGUGAGUUGCACCAAAUUGCCGGAGUAGCACAUUCCCGGGCAGGCAAAUACAUCUCAAAUCCCCAAAGCCUGGCCGGCAUUGAAAAACCAGAAAUAGUUACCCAGCUCACGUGGGUGCUUAGAAACCAUCAAGCCAAAAGUAAACGACAUUACCAAGGACAAAAUUCUGUUUCCCAUGUUUUAAGAGUCAACAAUUAUAUCUAAGUAACUUUAAACAACUAGGAUUUAACACCUAAUCACCGAAAUUAAGGCACAUGUAGCAUUGACCCUAAGCCUAAUGCUCCAAACUCAAAUGAAAAUUUUACAAACUCCAACAAAGAGAGCCUCCUCCCUUUAUAGGAUUUCCCAACUCUCGCUUCAACCCUCAAUGCAGUCCACCAUUUCAGAUUUAGCGUAUUCAUUCCUAUCUGUUCUUUUCUUGUUUUCUUUUUACCUAUGCUAGUUUUCAGUUUCAAAGUUACAUAUACAAAGCUAAGUGUUUCUCACUCUCAUUUAGCUUCGGAUUCGACUUGCUGGAUCUCGAAUCUUUUGCUCCC